Lathyrus oleraceus (garden pea) is the source of this 889-nucleotide long non-coding RNA. RefSeq lists it as uncharacterized. The record is from RefSeq and is a predicted model, not a curated record. NCBI's taxonomy places the organism in Eukaryota, Viridiplantae, Streptophyta, Magnoliopsida, Fabales, Fabaceae. The transcript has 2 exons.
AGGAACAAACUGGAUAAGGCCAAUUGACUAGGAUAUGAGUCAACAAUGCCACGUGAAUUAAUAAAUGAAGGCAAUGAAAUAAAACACGUGAUAAGCAUGUUAAACAUGAAACUCAAAUUGCAAACACACAUGCGCGUAUUCAAACUCAGCUUCCUUUUCUCCGUACCUCCCUCCGUCGUGCCGGAGGCUGUCCUCGGUGGCGGAGGCACCCCAAAAUCAAAUCAAACACCAAUAUCUAACUCAAAUUCCUAUGCUGAAUACGAAUCUACAAGUGGAAUCUCCUAAUUUUGUAAGAACUGCUCAAAUCGAAGAAAAAGGUUGAAGAACCCUAGCGCAGAAAAUUGAAAUUAAAUGGCGCUCGUUUGGAAUCAAAGCCCCGGGUUAGUGAUUUGAUUCUCCUAACCUCUAAUCCCAUCGUGGUAACAAGUAAUUGCGCAAACAGUGGAAAAUAUCGUGAAUUCACCAGUGAAGCACGCACAGUGGUCAACAGAAAUCCAGGGCUGCUUGGAAUUUCGCUUGUGGAUCAUGGGUUUGUCAUGGAAUGGAUGCAAGGAUCAUUGGAAUUGCUUUGGAUUCAAAUUUUGGAAUGUAUUGGAAUGGUCCUAUGUGUAAUCGAAAAUGAAUGCAUGUAAUUUUGUGGUAAUUGGAUGUAUUAUGAAACUUGAUUGCACUUUGAAUGAACCAUGUAUGUAGCAUAUGGACAUAUGUGUUGCAAUUUGUAUUGUGACUUGAUGUAUUUAUUUGAUUCAAAUGGGAAUACCAUGUAAUGUGUGGUUUGGUUCAUUUGUGAUUCUUGCUUGUACAUAGGUUGCUUGGAUUGUGCAAUGGAACUUUUGAUAGGGAACUGUUGUAAUGGUUGUGUUAUUGAAUGAAUUUGGAAUUGGUGUGA